Molecule: unclassified non-coding RNA, 418 nt
Filed under: soil metagenome
Description: partial contains 5.8S ribosomal RNA, internal transcribed spacer 2, and large subunit ribosomal RNA
Rfam family: 5.8S ribosomal RNA (bases 1-121)
Source: RNAcentral
GAUGAAGAACGUAGCGAAAUGCGAUAAGUAAUGUGAAUUGCAGAAUUCAGUGAAUCAUCGAAUCUUUGAACGCACCUUGCGCUCUUUGGCCAUUCCAAGGAGCAUGCCUGUUUGAGUGUCAUUGAAUCCUCAAGGCCCCCUUUUCCUGCCCUUCCUUUUCAAGCUUGGGCUUUAGGGGACUUGGACUUUGGGAGUGCUGCGGUGCCAGGCUUUACUCCGGCUCCGCUCUCCUCAAAUGCAUCAGUAGGGCCCCCUCAUCCCUUUCGGGUCUUUGCGGCGUUGAUAGUUGUCCACGCCUCUGCCCGUUGGGUCUCACCCUGCUCCCUCAACAACCCCCCCCACGUUUUUCUUUAAACGCUCUUGACCUCAAAUCAGGUAGGACUACCCGCUGAACUUAAGCAUAUCAAUAAGCGGAGGA